This 456-nucleotide long non-coding RNA is filed under the name Ananas comosus (pineapple). RNAcentral's name for it is "long non-coding RNA (ACOM_LNC023541)". Lineage: Eukaryota; Viridiplantae; Streptophyta; Magnoliopsida; Poales; Bromeliaceae. The record is from RNAcentral.
UAAUUUUUAGAAAAACGGGUUCGACGUGUGCAACAUUCCUAUAGAAUAUUAUUUUUUUCUGAUGUACAUCUUGUAGUGAUGUAGUAGGUUUUAAUUAUGCAAAAGUGAUGUAAUAAUUAAGGCCAUGUAAAGGAAUGUGUUUUGCGCAGCGUCGACGUUUUUCAAAUUAAAUUUUGGCAUAAGUACUUAUUUUUUAUCUGUGCGAUGAUAUUAUGAGAUUAGUUCUCCUCGUAUGAAUGUUUUUUCAAGAAAAGAUAUGUUCUUCAAUAUGGAUGAGUUCCAAAUUUUGGAUAAGUUUCAAAAUUAAUAGAAAAUUAAUAAGAUUGUAGUAUUUUGAACCGACAUUGGGGUGAUGAUUACGAGCAUAGCGAAGUUUUCGAUCCCGUUGUGUCGAGGAUAAUGUUCCAAUCUUGUUAAUUUUUUGGGAAUAUGUGCCUAAUGUCCAAACCUAUUUUU